RNAcentral lists this ribosomal RNA (482 nucleotides) under uncultured bacterium. RNAcentral's name for it is "partial 16S ribosomal RNA". It matches the Rfam family "Bacterial small subunit ribosomal RNA", at positions 30 to 507 of the family's 1533-position model. The record is from RNAcentral.
AUUGAACGCUGGCGGCAUGCUUUACACAUGCAAGUCGAACGGUAACAGGCCGCCAGGUGCUGACGAGUGGCGAACGGGUGCGUAAUGCAUCGGAACGUGCCCAGUCGUGGGGGAUAACUACUCGAAAGAGUAGCUAAUACCGCAUACGAUCUAUGGAUGAAAGCGGGGGACCGUAAGGCCUCGCGCGAUUGGAGCGGCCGAUGUCAGAUUAGGUAGUUGGUGGGGUAAAGGCUCACCAAGCCAACGAUCUGUAGCUGGUCUGAGAGGACGACCAGCCACACUGGGACUGAGACACGGCCCAGACUCCUACGGGAGGCAGCAGUGGGGAAUUUUGGACAAUGGGCGCAAGCCUGAUCCAGCAAUGCCGCGUGCAGGAAGAAGGCCUUCGGGUUGUAAACUGCUUUUGUACGGAACGAAACGGCUCUGGUUAAUACCCGGGGCUAAUGACGGUACCGUAAGAAUAGGCACCGGCUAACUACGUG